UGGGGAAUAUUGCACAAUGGGGGAAACCCUGAUGCAGCGACGCCGCGUGAGCGAUGAAGGCUUUCGAGUCGUAAAGCUCUGUCCUAUGGGAAGAUAAUGACGGUACCAUAGAAGAAAGCCCCGGCUAAUUACGUGCCAUCAGCCGCGGUAAUAUGUAAGGGGUGAGCGUUGUCCGGAAUUAUUGGGCGUAAAGAGUGCGUAGGCGGCAAAUUAAGUCAGAUGUGAAAACUAAGGGCUCAACCCAUAGAUUGCAUCUGAAACUGAUAUGCUUGAGUCAAGGAGAAGAAAGUGGAAUUCCUAGUGUAGCGGUGGAAUGCGUAGAUAUUAGGAGGAAUACCGGUGGCGAAGGCGACUUUCUGGACUUGAACUGACGCUGAGGCACGAAAGCGUGGGGAGCAAACAGG
Molecule: ribosomal RNA, 404 nt
Filed under: Verrucomicrobiota bacterium
Lineage: Bacteria; Pseudomonadati; Verrucomicrobiota
Description: Verrucomicrobia bacterium partial 16S ribosomal RNA
Rfam family: Bacterial small subunit ribosomal RNA
Source: RNAcentral